RNAcentral lists this long non-coding RNA (809 nucleotides) under Daphnia pulex (common water flea). RNAcentral describes it as "uncharacterized LOC124202612, transcript variant X2". The record is from RNAcentral. Lineage: Eukaryota; Metazoa; Arthropoda; Branchiopoda; Diplostraca; Daphniidae.
GAAUAAUGCACAGUUAGUCACAGACAGACAUGGAAGACAGUCGCUCUUUUCAGAGCCUGAUUGAAGUGAUUGACGAAUUUGACUUGGAAACCAUACUGUCGACCACGUCGAGAAGCUGAGUAACAUUCUGCUGUUACAAAGGCACCUCUUAAUAAAAGGAACUUAAGCCAUCCAAUAUAGGACUUCCAUCAAAUCUUGUAGGCUGCAUGGAAGUCGCAUUUACCUUUGCUGUGAACAUCAUGAACACAUACACUAUUUUAAGGUUCAUGUUUACGUAGCAGUGGUGUUGCUGUCCAAUGUGGCGUGUUGUUGCAGCCUAUGGUGGUGAAAGAUAUCUGCAUCAAGUUGCUGUUCCUUGUGCAUCCAAGGUGCUGGUUUUGUGCUACAGAAGUGACAUCCAAUAUUGUGUUUAAUUACUAUUUGUGUCUUUGCAGUUUACCUUUAUAUAUUGAGAAGGAACAAAAAAAAUAGUAACACGGGGAGGUUUAUGUCAAACAAAUAAUAAACAUGUCCAGGAUGGGGGAAUGAGGAGGAAGUUGGGGUGGGGUAUUUGGUUAUGAUUAACUAAAAGAAGUGAGGUAUAUUUUUAAUGAAUAUGCAGUACUUGGUGAUAAGAUCUGUUGGUAACCUAUACCUUCCUGUCAUCCUAUACCUUCCACACUUACACAGCCAUUCCUCAAACCCCAUAAGCACCAGCAUCAAAUCCCACAUCCACUCACAUCCAUUCCUAAAACUCCACAAUCUCCAACAUCAAAUUCACACAAUUGUUGUAUAUCUAUAAUCAAAUUUAUAUAUAAAUAAAUAAAACG